UCAAGAUUAGCCAUGCAUGUCUAAGUACAAAGACUAGUACUCUAAAACCGCGGAUGGCUCAUUAUAACAGCCUUGAUUUAAGAGAAUUAACGUUUAAUUACUACAAGAUAACUGUGGUAAUUCUAGAGCUAAUAUUUCAUAGAAAGCCGUGACUUCGGAAGCGGCGAAUUUAUUAGAUCAAAACCAACCUGUCGCAAGACGGUUCUUUGAUGAAUCUGGAUAACUUUACUGAUCGUACGACCUCAGUGUUGACGACAUAUCUCUUGAAAAGGCUGACCUAUCAACUUUCGAUGGUAAGAUCAAAGCUUACCAUGGUUGUAACGGGUAACGGGGAAUCAGUGUUCGAUUCCGGAGAGGGAGCCUGAGAAACGGCUACCACAUCUACGGAAGGCAGCAGGCGCGUAAAUUACCCAAUACCGGCUCGGUGAGGUAGUGACAAAAAAUAACAAUAUGGGCCCUAGUGGUUUCAUAAUUGCAAUGAGAACAUUUUAAAUACUUUAUCAAGUAUCAAUUGGAGGGCAAGUCUGGUGCCAGCAGCCGCGGUAAUUCCAGCUCCAAUAGCGUAUAUUAAAGUUGUUGCAGUUAAAAAGCUCGUAGUUGAAAUUGAGGCAAGAGCGUUUCAGAGGUCUAUGAUCUCGGAUUCGUGAUUGC
This 651-nucleotide ribosomal RNA is filed under the name Choeradoplana iheringi. Its description in RNAcentral is "SSU rRNA". It matches the Rfam family "Eukaryotic small subunit ribosomal RNA", at positions 38 to 687 of the family's 1831-position model. The record is from RNAcentral. Lineage: Eukaryota; Metazoa; Platyhelminthes; Tricladida; Geoplanidae.